GGGAAGGGGUGACUAGGGACAGAGUGAGGGAGGUGGUGACUAGUGACAGAGUGAGGGAGGGGGUGACUAGUGACAGAGUGAGGGAGGGGGUGACUGUCACUAGUCACCACCUCCCUCCGUCACUGUGUCACCCCCUCCCUCACUCUGUCACCAGUCAUCCCCUUACUCUGUCACUAGUCACCCCUCCCUCACUCUGCCACUAGUCACCCCUUCCCUCACUCCCUCACUCUGUCACUAGUCACCCCCUCACUC
Non-coding RNA from Pelobates cultripes (western spadefoot toad), 252 nucleotides. The record is from the annotation of a GenBank genome assembly. NCBI's taxonomy places the organism in Eukaryota, Metazoa, Chordata, Amphibia, Anura, Pelobatidae.